RNAcentral lists this ribosomal RNA (292 nucleotides) under uncultured bacterium. RNAcentral's name for it is "partial 16S ribosomal RNA". The record is from RNAcentral.
GGACUACCCGGGUAUCUAAUCCCGUUCGCUCCCCUAGCUUUCGCGUUUCAGCGUCAGGUGCAGUCCAGGUGGCCGCUUUCGCCACAGGUGUUCCUCCGGAUAUCUACGCAUUUCACCACUACACCCGGAAUUCCACCACCCUCUACUGCCCUCAAGUCUGGAAGUAUCGGACAGCCUCUCCUGGUUGAGCCAGGAGAUUUCAUGCCCGACUUGCCAAACCGCCUGAACGCGCUUUACGCCCAGUAAAUCCGGAUAACGCUCGUCACCUACGUUUUACCGCGGCUGCUGGCAC